Molecule: small RNA, 29 nt
Filed under: Bombyx mori (domestic silkworm)
Lineage: Eukaryota; Metazoa; Arthropoda; Insecta; Lepidoptera; Bombycidae
Description: ovarian small RNA-21291
Source: RNAcentral
UACUAGCAAUGUUUACUUACAAAAACCUG